Molecule: long non-coding RNA, 518 nt
Organism: Lycium barbarum (goji berry)
Lineage: Eukaryota; Viridiplantae; Streptophyta; Magnoliopsida; Solanales; Solanaceae
Exons: 3
Source: RefSeq, a predicted model, not a curated record
UUUAACUAGGGUUUGAGAAAAGCCUAGCGCCGCCACUAAAAUCACUCUCUCUCUUUGUCAUCCUCUAUCCAAAUUUGGCAAGUUUCAGAGCCACCAGGAUUUUGCCGGGCCUGGCAUGGCUGUUUGAGGCAAUGCAUUCAAUGAUACCGUCCUAUCUCCACCACAGUUGGAUCCAAACAAGGAAGUACAAAGGCUCCAAGUCCAUUCUCGAUAUUCGGCUGCACUUCAAAAAGAUUGUGAUAUAGAGACCAUUGCUCAUCCUCACAUCUAGCGUGGAGGACAUUUGUUGACAGAUUUUGGGUGAGCUUCUUCCCAUGUCAGGCCGCUCGAAGAUCUUCUUGCUAUGAUGUCUUUUCGUACUCUGGAUAUUAUAGAUUACUUACUUGUUAGACUUCAGAUUCUUCGACAAGUUUUUAGCUUAGAGUCUUGUACGAUGACUUUCAGAUUUUGGGGAUUGUAAUAGUUAUAACUUCCACACUUAUUUCAGUAUUUAUGGCAUGACUUAUCUUGUUCUUUUA